This 426-nucleotide ribosomal RNA is filed under the name uncultured bacterium. Its description in RNAcentral is "bacterial SSU rRNA". It matches the Rfam family "Bacterial small subunit ribosomal RNA", at positions 355 to 773 of the family's 1533-position model. The record is from RNAcentral.
UAGGGAAUCUUCGGCAAUGGGCGAAAGCCUGACCGAGCAACGCCGCGUGAAUGAUGAAGGCCUUCGGGUUGUAAAAUUCUGUUAUAAGGGAAGAACGACUUUAGUAGGAAAUGGCUAAAGUGUGACGGUACCUUAUGAGAAAGCCACGGCUAACUACGUGCCAGCAGCCGCGGUAAUACGUAGGUGGCAAGCGUUAUCCGGAAUUAUUGGGCGUAAAGAGCGCGCAGGUGGUUGUUUAAGUCUGAUGUGAAAGCCCACGGCUUAACCGUGGAGGGUCAUUGGAAACUGGUCGACUUGAGGGCAGAAGAGGGAAGUGGAAUUCCAUGUGUAGCGGUGAAAUGCGUAGAGAUAUGGAGGAACACCAGUGGCGAAGGCGGCUUCCUGGUCUGUAACUGACACUGAGGCGCGAAAGCGUGGGGAGCAAAC